This 433-nucleotide ribosomal RNA is filed under the name uncultured bacterium. RNAcentral describes it as "partial 16S ribosomal RNA". It matches the Rfam family "Bacterial small subunit ribosomal RNA", at positions 29 to 507 of the family's 1533-position model. The record is from RNAcentral.
AACGAACGCUGGCGGCAUGCCUAACACAUGCAAGUCGAACGAGACCUUCGGGUCUAGUGGCGCACGGGUGCGUAACGCGUGAGAACCUGCCCUUAGGUUCGGAAUAACUCCCCGAAAGGGGUGCUAAUACCAGAUAAUGUCUUCGGACCAAAGAUUUAUCGCCUUUGGAUGGGCCCGCGUUGGAUUAGCUAGUUGGUAGGGUAAAAGCCUACCAAGGCGACGAUCCAUAGCUGGUCUGAGAGGAUGAUCAGCCACACUGGGACUGAGACACGGCCCAGACUCCUACGGGAAGCAGCAGUGGGGAAUAUUGGACAAUGGGCGAAAGCCUGAUCCAGCAAUGCCGCGUGAGUGAUGAAGGCCUUAGGGUUGUAAAGCUCUUUUACCCGGGAUGAUAAUGACAGUACCGGGAGAAUAAGCUCCGGCUAACUCCGUG